UGCAGCAACGCCGCGUGAGGGAUGACGGCCUUCGGGUUGUAAACCUCUUUUAGUAGGGAAGAAGCGAAAGUGACGGUACCUGCAGAAAAAGCACCGGCUAACUACGUGCCAGCAGCCGCGGUAAUACGUAGGGUGCAAGCGUUGUCCGGAAUUAUUGGGCGUAAAGAGCUCGUAGGCGGUUUGUCGCGUCUGCUGUGAAAUCCCGAGGCUCAACCUCGGGCUUGCAGUGGGUACGGGCAGACUAGAGUGCGGUAGGGGAGAUUGGAAUUCCUGGUGUAGCGGUGGAAUGCGCAGAUAUCAGGAGGAACACCGAUGGCGAAGGCAGAUCUCUGGGCCGUAACUGACGCUGAGGAGCGAAAGCAUGGGGAGCGAACAGGAUUAGAUACCCUGGUAGUCCAUGCCGUAAACGUUGGGCGCUAGAUGUAGGGACCUUUCCACGGUUUCUGUGUCGUAGCUAACGCAUUAAGCGCCCCGCCUGGGGAGUACGGCCGCAAGGCUAAAACUCAAAGGAAUUGACGGGGGCCCGCACAAGCGGCGGAGCAUGCGGAUUAAUUCGAUGCAACGCGAAGAACCUUACCAAGGCUUGACAUACACCGGAAACGGCCAGAGAUGGUCGCCCCCUUGU
RNAcentral lists this ribosomal RNA (625 nucleotides) under Curtobacterium sp. Ri3Pw_6237. Its description in RNAcentral is "bacterial SSU rRNA". It matches the Rfam family "Bacterial small subunit ribosomal RNA", at positions 387 to 1021 of the family's 1533-position model. The record is from RNAcentral. Lineage: Bacteria; Bacillati; Actinomycetota; Actinomycetes; Micrococcales; Microbacteriaceae.